GUUGUAAACAAGAGCCGCCGUAUGAAAAAAAUCCUUGCCUUCAAAUUUGCAAACCAUGAAUCGAGAUCACCGUGUGAGUAAUCAAUUUUUCCCGUGUCGAACCCGCAAUAUUUGCAAUUAAACGUUCAAGAAAGGAAUAUACCUAAAUAUGAGGGCCAUCAACAUGCCGCUGCAAUUUCCGUAACAAUCCAAUUUUGAAGAGCUGCAGAAAUAGAUUCAAUAG
Long non-coding RNA from Uranotaenia lowii, 223 nucleotides. RefSeq lists it as uncharacterized. Lineage: Eukaryota; Metazoa; Arthropoda; Insecta; Diptera; Culicidae. The record is from RefSeq and is a predicted model, not a curated record. The transcript is spliced from 2 exons.